GCACGGGUGAGUAACACGUGGAUAAUCUACCCAUCAAUUCGGGAUAACAGUUGGAAACGGCUGCUAAUACCGUAUACGAUCUGAUUUUAUCGUUAGAUGAAAGGCGGCCUCUGCAUAUGCUGUCGUUGAUGGAUGAGUCCGCGUCUCAUUAGGUAGUUGGUAGGGUAACGGCCUACCAAGCCGACGAUGAGUAGCCGGCCUGAGAGGGUAAUCGGCCACACUGGGACUGGAACACGGCCCAG
Molecule: ribosomal RNA, 242 nt
Filed under: uncultured bacterium
Lineage: Bacteria
Description: partial 16S ribosomal RNA
Rfam family: Bacterial small subunit ribosomal RNA
Source: RNAcentral